AGGGUGAGGUGUGACAUUUUUU
This 22-nucleotide microRNA is filed under the name Schistosoma japonicum. RNAcentral describes it as "miRNA-3029". Lineage: Eukaryota; Metazoa; Platyhelminthes; Trematoda; Strigeidida; Schistosomatidae. The record is from RNAcentral.